AGUGAACGCUGGCGGUAGACCUAACACAUGCAAGUCGAACGGCAGCACAGGAGAGCUUGCUCUCUGGGUGGCGAGUGGCGGACGGGUGAGGAAUACAUCGGAAUCUACUUUUUCGUGGGGGAUAGCGUAGGGAAACUUACGCUAAUACCGCAUACGACCUACGGGUGAAAGCAGGGGAUCUUCGGACCUUGCGCGAUUGAAUGAGCCGAUGUCGGAUUAGCUAGUUGGCGGGGUAAAGGCCCACCAAGGCGACGAUCCGUAGCUGGUCUGAGAGGAUGAUCAGCCACACUGGAACUGAGACACGGUCCAGACUCCUACGGGAGGCAGCAGUGGGGAAUAUUGGACAAUGGGCGCAAGCCUGAUCCAGCCAUACCGCGUGGGUGAAGAAGGCCUUCGGGUUGUAAAGCCCUUUUGUUGGGAAAGAAAUCCAGCUGGUUAAUACCCGGUUGGGAUGACGGUACCCAAAGAAUAAGCACCGGCUAACUUCGUGCCAGCCGCCGCAGUAA
Molecule: ribosomal RNA, 506 nt
Filed under: uncultured bacterium
Lineage: Bacteria
Description: partial 16S ribosomal RNA
Rfam family: Bacterial small subunit ribosomal RNA
Source: RNAcentral